This 1228-nucleotide ribosomal RNA is filed under the name human gut metagenome. RNAcentral describes it as "eukaryotic LSU rRNA". It matches the Rfam family "Eukaryotic large subunit ribosomal RNA", at positions 1745 to 3164 of the family's 3401-position model. The record is from RNAcentral.
AAGUUUUAAUUUAGUAAAAUUAUAAUUUCGAUUAUAAUAACGGCUAUUUAAAUGAUCCAUGAAACAAUAAGUUUAUUUUUUCAAAAAUUAAUUUAAUCGUACCGAUAACCGCAUCAGGUCUCCAAGGUGAGUAGCUUCUGGCCAUUGAGUAAUGGUAAUUUAGGGAAUUCGGCCAAUUAGAGCUGUAACUUCGGGAUAAAGCUUGGCUCUGAUGGAAAUCAGAACCGAUAGUUACAAGGAGAGCCCAACUGUUUAAUAAAAACUUAGUGUCGCGUCAUACCUUUAUAAGUAAUAAACGUGACAUGAAUCCUGCUCAGUGCUGUGUUUGUUAAACUGGAUUAAUCCAUUUAAGCGCCGGUAAAUAGCUGGGGUAACUAUGACUCUUAUCAAAGUAGCGAAAUACCUCGUCACUUAAUUAGUGACCUGCAUGAACGGAGCUAUGAGGUUCUCACUGUCCCAAAUUAUCACUCAGCGAACCAACAGUUGUGGGAACGGGCACAAAUUAUCCAGCGGGGAAAGAAGACCCUGUAGAGCUUCACUUUGGUCUAAUCUUGUAUAGUUUCGUUAGGGGUGCAGUCUAGGUGGGAGAUUUUUAAUCAAAUAUGAGAAACCACUACCCUUUCUGGAAUUAUACUUACUAAAAUUCUUUUCUAAAUUUUAGGAUCGGAUUAGAUAGAAAGUUUGGCUGGGGCGGCACACCUUCGAAAAAGCAGCGAAGGUGUCCUAAGUUAAGCUCAGUAAGGACAGAAAUCUUACGUUGAGGAUAAGGCCAAAAGCUUAAUUUACUGUGCCUUUUUGUACUAGGAUCAGUUUGGAAACAAAGGCCUAACGAUCCCUAAUUAGUCUUAGGUGUGUAAGACUUGGGGUGACAGACAAGUUACCUCCGGGACAACUGGCUUGUGGCUGCUAAGAGAUCAAAUCAACGCAGCUUUUUGAUUCUUCGAUGUCGGCUCUUCCUAUCCUAGUGAUGUACAAGUCACUAAGGGUUGGAUUGUUCACCCGUAUUAGGGAUCGUGAGCUGGGUUUAGACCGUCGUGAGCCAGGUUUGUUUUAUCCUACUGGAUAUAAUUUAGCAUCUUGAUAGUAGUUUGAUUUAGUACGAGAGGAACUGUUGAAUAUGGUCUCUGGUUUGGGAAUUUUAUGAAAAUAAAAGUUCCAAAGCUACGCCGUCUGAGAUAAUGGCUGAAGGCCUCUUAAGCCAGAAACUCAUCUAAAAAUAGAUGCUUUA